GAUAGAGGCGCGGCUGAUAAGAGUACCCAUCCGGAAUGCAGGCACAGCAGGAUGGCGAAAGGCUCAGCCGCCGAAGGGUCGGCCCGCUGCCUGGCGGGACGAUGCCUGGGUCGUCGGAGAAAAUCCGGCGGACUGUCGUCCGGAAACGGACGGGGCGCUGUC
Molecule: non-coding RNA, 162 nt
Filed under: uncultured Dysosmobacter sp.
Lineage: Bacteria; Bacillati; Bacillota; Clostridia; Eubacteriales; Oscillospiraceae
Description: Lysine riboswitch
Rfam family: Lysine riboswitch aptamer
About the family: Riboswitches are metabolite binding domains within certain messenger RNAs that serve as precision sensors for their corresponding targets. Allosteric rearrangement of mRNA structure is mediated by ligand binding, and this results in modulation of gene expression. This family includes riboswitches that sense lysine in a number of genes involved in lysine metabolism, including lysC.
Source: RNAcentral